RNAcentral lists this ribosomal RNA (468 nucleotides) under uncultured bacterium. RNAcentral describes it as "partial 16S ribosomal RNA". It matches the Rfam family "Bacterial small subunit ribosomal RNA", at positions 28 to 507 of the family's 1533-position model. The record is from RNAcentral.
GACGAACGCUGGCGGCGUGCUUAACACAUGCAAGUCGAACGGAAAGGCCCUGCUUUUGUGGGGUGCUCGAGUGGCGAACGGGUGAGUAACACGUGAGUAACCUGCCCUUGACUUUGGGAUAACUUCAGGAAACUGGGGCUAAUACCGGAUAGGAGCUCCUGCUGCAUGGUGGGGGUUGGAAAGUUUCGGCGGUUGGGGAUGGACUCGCGGCUUAUCAGCUUGUUGGUGGGGUAGUGGCUUACCAAGGCUUUGACGGGUAGCCGGCCUGAGAGGGUGACCGGCCACAUUGGGACUGAGAUACGGCCCAGACUCCUACGGGAGGCAGCAGUGGGGAAUAUUGCACAAUGGGCGGAAGCCUGAUGUAGCAACGCCGCGUGCGGGAUGACGGCCUUCGGGUUGUAAACCGCUUUCGCCUAUGACGAAGCGUGAGUGACGGUAAUGGGUAAAGAAGCACCGGCUAACUACGUG